CCAAAAUCCCAUUUUUCUUCAAUUCACUCCCCAAAUUGGUUUACAGAUGUGAGUUAACUUACUGUAUGCACUCAGAACCUAUUUCUAACAUCAAAAUCAUCAUUGCAACUCCAAAAUCAUCUUUUCCUCAUAAAACCCCAAAAUCCCCAAUUCUCACCAAAACUCUGUUAAACACAAAAUCAUAAAUUAAUAGCUAUACUACUGAAGUAAAUCUCACCCUUACCUUAAAUUUGCAGAAGAAAAUGCACAACAAUAAAGAUUCUUGAGUUCUACUUGCUCUUCUCUCCUUUCUCCCAAAACUGUCAGUUCUUACGUACAAUGCUUUCUAACUUCUAUUUUCCUAACUUCCCACUUACUUAACUCUUUUUAAUUCUCAUUUUACUCCCCCUUAAUUCUAUUUAAUUCUAUUAACUCCCCAAACACCAAAAUAAUUAAUAUUUCACCCUUAUUCUAAUUAUUAUUAAAAUAAACCAUAUAAUAAAAUAAACACACCACAUAAAUCACCAAAAAUCAUAUAUAUAUACACUCCAUAUAAAUCAAAAAUAAAUAACACAACGAUUAGAGUGUUACAGAAAAUACGAGGGAAAAUGAGAAAAUCUUUCAAUUUUUUUAAAAGAGUAGUUUUUUAGAAAAUGAUAAAUUAACACAUAUGAUUACUAUAAUAAUAUAACAACAUAUGUUAAAUUUGAAUAAUUCAUAUAAACCCUCAACUCCCCCCUCUCAAUAAAAAAAAAAAAAACAUAUCCAAUGCAAUUUUUUAGUUCUCCAAAGUUAUGAGGGUUUAGUAUUAUGAAGAAGUUAAAUCCCAAAGUCUUCCCCUCCCAUUUUCCUCUAUUUCUUUCACUUGUUCAAUUCUUUUUUCUUAAAAUUUAUCCUUCAAUCCCCUCCAAAAUCGCAAACAAAGCCGUAAGACAUGACUCAAAAUCAUUACCAGUUGACAAGUGAACGAGCCUCCACUACCGUUGCUCCAUCUUUAUCUAAAAAAAGAGUCAGAUAUGUAUGAAGUUUCUGCCCUUGAUCACUUAGCUUCUAAGGUGGACGCGUUGUUGAAACAAAAUUGGUUUGUACAAUUCCUCUAAGAUUUUGAUGAUAAUAAAGUAUUAAAGAACAAUUGGAUAUGCUAAUAUAUGUUAGUAUGCAUGACCAUAUAUUAAAUUUUAACAAGGUCUUAACAUGUAUAAGAGCAUCGAAUGCACAAUAGAAGCUCAAAGACUAUGGUAGAAGAUCUAAAGAAAGUUUAACCAGAAGUCAACACCUUGUUUGAUUGAUUGCACAUUAAGCCAUUCUGCAAUGUAAAUAUUUAUCAUGGUUUUAUCUCUUUGACUUUUUAUGGUAAGGUUUUUAAUGAAGACAAUUGUUAUAUGUUUGUUAUGAUUGUACUCUUGAUUUUCAGCCUAAUCCUCUCAAGUUCUCUUAAUUUUAUUUUAUUUUAACAAAUUUAUUGGGGUUCUGUAAAUGGCAAGCAGGGUUCUUGGAAUGCCGACACAAUUGAAAUGUCAUAUUUUUUCCUGGAUACAUUUGCACUUUAAUUAUUUCUUAAAAAAUUAUUCCAUUUAUUUUGAUUUUUUGUGUGAUAUCUUCUUAAGAAAAUGAAUGUAAGAAUACUUGCAUAUCACAAUAAUACACCUUAAGGUUGUAAUAAAAUUGAAAGACUUGAGGAAUAUUAUUAUAAUUGUGCAAACAUUAUAACAUACAUAUAAUUUCUUACGUUUAGAGGUAGCAUAAUUAUUCUCUGGACAUCUCUAGAUAAUAAUCAUCGUCAGACAUUUCCCCUAAAUCGUACUCACAUAUUUUAUUAUUACACUUAAAUGAGUAAUGUGACAUCUCUGGACACUCAUCGUCAGACAAGCAAGGAAUACCAUCUGCAUUGUCAAUAUUUUUUUAAUAAAUGUUGUUAAAAUAUUGUGUAUAAGAUAAAUUAGAAGAUUCAAAAAUGGUUUGAAAAAUUACAUACCUCUAACAAAUAGAGAACUAAAGAUGAUCAAAGCAUAAAUCAAAGCAUAAACAAACAUGAUAAUAUGAGCCAUAUUUUUCCUCCUUUGUAUGUAUUAAACAUAUUUUUUUUGAUUGCUUUAUAAGUAAAUAUUUUAUGCUUUGGUAACUUCAAUUAAACAAUUUUUAACACUUAGGAAUUGAAAGAAGCCAUUUAUUA
RNAcentral lists this long non-coding RNA (2152 nucleotides) under Medicago truncatula (barrel medic). Its description in RNAcentral is "long non-coding RNA (MTRU_LNC001855)". Lineage: Eukaryota; Viridiplantae; Streptophyta; Magnoliopsida; Fabales; Fabaceae. The record is from RNAcentral.